AUACUACUCCCUCCGUUCGGAAUUACUUGUCACAAAAAUGGAUGUAUCUACAACUAAACUACAUCUAGAUAUAUUCAUUUCUUGGACAAGUAAUUCUGAACGGAGGGAGUACUUG
Non-coding RNA from Triticum aestivum (bread wheat), 115 nucleotides. NCBI's taxonomy places the organism in Eukaryota, Viridiplantae, Streptophyta, Magnoliopsida, Poales, Poaceae. The record is from Rfam.